UGCUCACCAGUGAUGUUAUAAAAUAAAUGUCUGAACAAAUGAGAUCCUGUGAUAUUAACUUAUUAUCCUGAGGGGAGCA
Molecule: small nucleolar RNA, 79 nt
Organism: Alosa alosa (allis shad)
Lineage: Eukaryota; Metazoa; Chordata; Actinopteri; Clupeiformes; Clupeidae
Product: small nucleolar RNA SNORD72
Exons: 1
Source: RefSeq, a predicted model, not a curated record